RNAcentral lists this ribosomal RNA (495 nucleotides) under uncultured bacterium. RNAcentral's name for it is "partial 16S ribosomal RNA". It matches the Rfam family "Bacterial small subunit ribosomal RNA", at positions 28 to 507 of the family's 1533-position model. The record is from RNAcentral.
GACGAACGCUGGCGGCGUGCCUAAUACAUGCAAGUCGAACGCUGAAGGAGGAGCUUGCUUCUCUGGAUGAGUUGCGAACGGGUGAGUAACGCGUAGGUAACCUGCCUGGUAGCGGGGGAUAACUAUUGGAAACGAUAGCUAAUACCGCAUAAGAGUAGAUGUUGCAUGACAUUUGCUUAAAAGGUGCAAUUGCAUCACUACCAGAUGGACCUGCGUUGUAUUAGCUAGUUGGUGGGGUAACGGCUCACCAAGGCGACGAUACAUAGCCGACCUGAGAGGGGGAGCGGCCACACUGGGACUGAGACACGGCCCAGACUCCUACGGGAGGCAGCAGUAGGGAAUCUUCGGCAAUGGACGGAAGUCUGACCGAGCAACGCCGCGUGAGUGAAGAAGGGUGUCGGAUCGUAAAGCUCGGUUGUAAGAGAAGAAAGAGUGUGAGAGUGGAAAGUUCACACUGUGACGGUAUCUUACCAGAAAGGGACGGCUAACUACGUG